Molecule: ribosomal RNA, 230 nt
Filed under: uncultured Alicycliphilus sp.
Lineage: Bacteria; Pseudomonadati; Pseudomonadota; Betaproteobacteria; Burkholderiales; Comamonadaceae
Description: partial 16S ribosomal RNA
Rfam family: Bacterial small subunit ribosomal RNA
Source: RNAcentral
AGAUGCUCACUGGGUAUAAAGGGUGCGCAGGCGGUUUUGUAAGACAGAGGUGAAAUCCCCGGGCUCAACCUGGGAACUGCCUUUGUGACUGCAAGGCUGGAGUGCGGCAGAGGGGGAUGGAAUUCCGCGUGUAGCAGUGAAAUGCGUAGAUAUGCGGAGGAACACCGAUGGCGAAGGCAAUCCCCUGGGCCUGCACUGACGCUCAUGCACGAAAGCGUGGGGAGCAAACA